Oncorhynchus keta (chum salmon) is the source of this 1483-nucleotide long non-coding RNA. RefSeq lists it as uncharacterized. The transcript is spliced from 3 exons. The record is from RefSeq and is a predicted model, not a curated record. Lineage: Eukaryota; Metazoa; Chordata; Actinopteri; Salmoniformes; Salmonidae.
CACACACCUUAUAUGGUUUAUUUACUAGUUCCUUAUUUGGGUUGUAGUUAGGUUGUUUGUGUUGUGUUACAGGUUGUAGUUAGAUUGUUUGUUGUUGUUUGUGUUGUAGUUAGGUUAUUUGUAUUGUAGUUAGGUUGUUUGUGUUGUAGUUAGGUUGUUUGUGUUGUAGUUAGGUUGUUUGUAUUGUAGUUAGGUUGUUUGUAUUGUGUUACAGGUUGUAGUUAGGUUGUUUGUGUUGUAGUUAGGUUGUUUGUGUUGUGUUACAGGUUGUAGUUAGGUUGUUUGUGUUGUAGUUAGGUUGUUUGUGUUGUAGUUAGGUUGUUUGUGUUGUAGUUAGGUUAUUUGUAUUGUAGUUAGGUUGUUUGUGUUGUAGUUAGGUUAUUUGUAUUGUAGUUAGGUUGUUUGUAUUGUAGUUACGUUGUUUGUGUUGUGUUACAGGUUGUAGUUCGGUUGUUUGUGUUGUAGUUAGGUUGUUUGUGUUGUAGUUAGGUUAUUUGUAUUGUAGUUAGGUUAUUUAUAUUGUAGUUACGUUAUUUGUGUUGUAGUUAGGUUGUUUGUAUUGUAGUUAGGUUGUUUGUGUUGUAGUUAGGUUGUUUGUGUUGUAGUUAGGUUGUUUGUGUUGUAGUUAGGUUGUUUGUAUUGUAGUUAGGUUGUUUGUGUUGUAGUUAGGUUAUUUGUAUUGUAGUUAGGUUAUUUGUAUUGUAGUUAGGUUAUUUGUGUUGUAGUUAGGUUAUUUGUAUUGUAGUUAGGUUGUUUGUAUUGUAGUUAGGUUGUUUGUGUUGUAGUUAGGUUGUUUGUAUUGUAGUUAGGUUAUUUGUAUUGUAGUUAGGUUGUUUGUAUUGUAGUUAGGUUGUUUGUGUUGUAGUUAGGUUGUUUGUGUUGUAGUUAGGUUGUUUGUAUUGUAGUUAGGUUGUUUGUGUUGUAGUUAGGUUGUUUGUGUUGUAGUUAGAUUGUAGUUAGGUUGUUUGUGUUGUGUUACAGGUUGUAGUUAGGUUGUUUGUGUUGUAGUUAGGUUGUUUGUGUUGUAGUUAGGUUAUUUGUAUUGUAGUUAGGUUGUUUGUGUUGUGUUACAGGUUGUAGUUAGGUUGUUUGUGUUGUAGUUAGGUUGUUUGUGUUGUAGUUAGGUUGUAGUUAGGUUGUUUGUGUUGUAGUUAUGUUGUAGUUAGGUUGUUUGUGUUGUGUUACAGGUUGUAGUUAGGUUGUUUGUGUUGUAGUUAGGUUGUUUGUGUUGUGUUACAGGUUGUAGUUAGGUUGUUUGUGUUGUAGUUAGGUUGUUUGUGUUUUAGUUAGGUUGUAGUUAGGUUGUUUGUGUUGUAGUUAGGUUGUUUGUGUUGUGUUACAGGUUGUAGUUAGGUUGUUUGUGUUGUAGUUAGGUUGUUUGUGUUUUAGUUAGGUUGUAGUUAGGUUGUUUGUGUUGUAGUUAUGUUGUAGUUAGGUUGUUUGUGUUGUGUUACAGGUUGUAGUUAGGUUGUUUGUGUUGUGU